GUCAAAAGAUAAGUGGCCCAUGAAGCAAAUGCAGAGAAGAUUGGUGCAGUGAAAACACAAACAGUCUCAACAGACAAAGGAAUAUUCAAAGAAUUCAAUAUCCACCAUAUUGUGCCUGCCGUCAAGGUUAAACCAGGGUAAACAGUUCCACCAAUCACUCUACCAAGAGGGUACCAGGUUCGGUCAUCAAACCAAUUCCAAAAGUCAUA
Molecule: unclassified non-coding RNA, 209 nt
Filed under: Hevea brasiliensis (rubber tree)
Lineage: Eukaryota; Viridiplantae; Streptophyta; Magnoliopsida; Malpighiales; Euphorbiaceae
Source: RNAcentral